AUGCCUGGGAGGUCGACCAUGGAAGCCAUUUUCUUGGUACGACAACUUAUGGAGAGAUAUAUGGAGCAUAAGAAGGACUUGCAUAUGGUGUUCAUUGACUUGGAGAAGGCCUAUGAUAAGAUACCGCGGAAUGUCAUGUGGUGGGCCUUGGAGAAACACAAAGUCCCAGCAAAGUACAUUACCCUCAUCAAGGACAUGUACAAUAAUGUCGUGACAAGUGUUCGAACAAGUGAUGUCGACACCGAUGACUUCCCGAUUAAGAUAGGACUGCAUCAGGGGUCAGCUUUGAGCCCUUAUCUUUUUGCAUUGGUGAUGGAUGAGGUCACAAGGGGUAUACAAGGAGAUAUCCCAUGGUGUAUGCUCUUUGCGGAUGAUGUGGUGCUAGUUGACGAUAGUCGGACGGGGGUAAAUAGGAAGUUAGAGUUAUGGAGACAAACCUUGGAAUCGAAAGGGUUUAGGCUUAGUAGAACUAAAACCGAGUACAUGAUGUGCGGUUUCAGUACUACUAGCUGUGAGGAGGAGGAGGUUAGCCUUGAUGGCCAGGUGGUACCUUGGAAGGACACCUUUCGGUAUUUGGGGUCAAUGUUGCAGGAGGAUGGGGGUAUUGAUGAAGAUGUGAACCAUCGAAUCAAAGCCGGAUGGAUGAAGUGGCGCCAAGUUUCUGGCAUUCUCUGUGACAAGAGAGUGCCACAAAAGCUAAAAGGCAAGUUCUACAAGACGGCGGUUUGA
Molecule: ribosomal RNA, 729 nt
Filed under: Triticum aestivum (bread wheat)
Lineage: Eukaryota; Viridiplantae; Streptophyta; Magnoliopsida; Poales; Poaceae
Description: partial small subunit ribosomal RNA
Source: RNAcentral